RNAcentral lists this ribosomal RNA (529 nucleotides) under uncultured bacterium. RNAcentral describes it as "bacterial SSU rRNA". It matches the Rfam family "Bacterial small subunit ribosomal RNA", at positions 980 to 1509 of the family's 1533-position model. The record is from RNAcentral.
CUUGACAUCCAGCGAACUUUCCAGAGAUGGAUUGGUGCCUUCGGGAACGCUGAGACAGGUGCUGCAUGGCUGUCGUCAGCUCGUGUUGCGAAAUGUUGGGUUAAGUCCCGCAACGAGCGCAACCCUUAUCCUUUGUUGCCAGCGAUUCGGUCGGGAACUCAAAGGAGACUGCCGGUGAUAAACCGGAGGAAGGUGGGGAUGACGUCAAGUCAUCAUGGCCCUUACGAGUAGGGCUACACACGUGCUACAAUGGCGCAUACAAAGAGAAGCGACCUCGCGAGAGCAAGCGGACCUCAUAAAGUGCGUCGUAGUCCGGAUCGGAGUCUGCAACUCGACUCCGUGAAGUCGGAAUCGCUAGUAAUCGUGGAUCAGAAUGCCACGGUGAAUACGUUCCCGGGCCUUGUACACACCGCCCGUCACACCAUGGGAGUGGGUUGCAAAAGAAGUAGGUAGCUUAACCCUCGGGAGGGCGCUUACCACUUUGUGAUUCAUGACUGGGGUGAAGUCGUAACAAGGUAGGCGUAGCGAG